UACGGGGGGGGCAAGCGUUGUUCGGAAUUACUGGGCGUAAAGGGCUCGUAGGCGGCCAACUAAGUCAGACGUGAAAUCCCUCGGCUUAACCGGGGAACUGCGUCUGAUACUGGAUGGCUAGAGGUUGGGAGAGGGAUGCGGAAUUCCAGGUGUAGCGGUGAAAUGCGUAGAUAUCUGGAGGAACACCGGUGGCGAAGGCGGCAUCCUGGACCAAUUCUGACGCUGAGGAGCGAGAGCCAGGGGAGCAAACGGG
RNAcentral lists this ribosomal RNA (253 nucleotides) under uncultured bacterium. Its description in RNAcentral is "partial 16S ribosomal RNA". It matches the Rfam family "Bacterial small subunit ribosomal RNA", at positions 524 to 776 of the family's 1533-position model. The record is from RNAcentral.